UUUUUUUUAGUAGUACUGCUGAAAUCACGCCAAAGAUUCCCUCGCAAGGAUGUCUGCUUCCGUGACUGAUAAUCGUCACGUUUGAGAAGAUAUAUUUGGCCUUAUUUGAGUUUAUAAGUUCAACUCUAUGUCACGUAGUCGACGUUUUGAUUUUGUGAUCUUUGAAUUAUUGUAAGUCUUAAGCUUUCUUGACCUUCUUUGUUACCGGUGUAGGAAAAUUAACUUACAUUUGUUUUUACUCUGCUGCAACAGUCAGCAAUUUUUGCUGCGCUGCUUUUAACCCGAUUCUUUGUCGGAUUAACAAUGAGAUGCCAUAUAAACGGCCAUGUUAGGUCUCUCGCUAAUGGACGUGUACAAAUUGGUGUUGACCCCUACGGCAGCGGGUCAUUCAUAAAACAUGUCAACAGAACUCGAAGAACUGUUUAUCGAGGCAUCCCUAUAAUUGUCGUUUGGAAGAUGAUUUCGUCAUAAGCUAUCACUUAUUCAUGAUUUCAGCUGUACGAUGGUUUCGGCGUUAUUUCUGCCAAUUACGUCGUUGUUGAUGCCGGAGCGAAGUUCACCGAAAUCGUUUUUAACCAAAAUAAUGAGUGCUUCCUUUGCUCAGUCGUCCGUGAAAGACAUUCAACGAUUCUUUCAAGGUUCUUGAUUUCAAGGAUUACAUGUGCAGCUGCCUAAACAGAGCCCUAGAUCACUAAACGGCAGUGCGACAUCUCUGUCUUCUUUGGACGCAAACGCUGGGUCACACUCUCCUUCUUCUCCUCGUAACAGCAAAGCAUUUGGUAUUCACAGAUUAUUUGGUAGAAGCAAAGAGAAUCAUGGUACACAUAGUGGAAAAGAGGAUUCUGAAACUGAGGAUAGUGCUUUGAAGUUAAAAUUAAACGUGCCAACAGCGGGACAUAAACAAUUCUCUAAAGUCCUGGCUGAGAUCAGAGAAAGAGCAAUGCCAUCUUCGUAAGUUGUAUUUUGUUAAUAUUGUAAUGAUCGGUUGAUGCCUUUUAUUUGGUGCAUGCACUCUUUGUACAUUAACAGGGCUGUCAUUAAGUUUUGAAGCAGCCGUUGCAUGUAAGUUAUCACCCGUAGCAGUCAAAUAAAUGGCCCACGGCCACGUUCUGAAGGCCCGAAAGGGCCUGAGCAUCUAGGGGGGUCUGGGGGCAUGCCCCCACCCCCCUCCCCAGCAAUUUUUUGAGCAUGAAACCCCUGGAAAUGCAUUUUCCUGCUUUCUAGGGCAUGAAAAUGGCAAUUUUUCUAAUCAA
RNAcentral lists this unclassified non-coding RNA (1253 nucleotides) under Orbicella faveolata. RNAcentral's name for it is "uncharacterized LOC110053962, transcript variant X1". Lineage: Eukaryota; Metazoa; Cnidaria; Anthozoa; Scleractinia; Merulinidae. The record is from RNAcentral.